GGGGUUAUAACUCAAUUGGUAGAGUAUGUGUUUUGCAUACACAAGGUUGUUGGUUCAAGUCCGACUAAUUCCA
Molecule: transfer RNA, 73 nt
Filed under: Synura synuroidea
Lineage: Eukaryota; Synurophyceae; Synurales; Mallomonadaceae
Description: tRNA-Ala
Rfam family: tRNA
About the family: Transfer RNA (tRNA) molecules are approximately 80 nucleotides in length.
Source: RNAcentral